AGGGCACCACCAGGAGUGGAGCCUGCGGCUUAAUUUGACUCAACACGGGAAAACUCACCCGGCCCGGACACUGGAAGGAUUGACAGAUUGAGAGCUCUUUCUUGAUUCAGUGGGUGGUGGUGCAUGGCCGUUCUUAGUUGGUGGAGUGAUUUGUCUGGUUAAUUCCGAUAACGAACGAGACUCUAGCCUACUAAAUAGAUCGUCGGCUUACAAACGCCGGCGAGACUUCUUAGAGGGACAGGCGGUGAUUCAACCGCACGAAACAGAGCAAUAACAGGUCUGUGAUGCCCUUAGAUGUCCGGGGCCGCACGCGCGCUACACUGAAGUGAUCAGCGUGCUUUUUCAACCUACUCUGUCAAGAGUGGGGAACCCAAUGAACCUUCUUCGCGAUUGGGAUAGGGGAUUGUAAUUAUUCCCCUUGAACGAGGAAUUCCCAGUAAGCGCGAGUCAUAAGCUCGCGUUGAUUACGUCCCUGCCCUUUGUACACACCGCCCGUCGCUACUACCGAUUGAAUGUUUU
Molecule: ribosomal RNA, 519 nt
Filed under: uncultured eukaryote
Lineage: Eukaryota
Description: SSU rRNA
Rfam family: Eukaryotic small subunit ribosomal RNA
Source: RNAcentral